This is a long non-coding RNA of Manis pentadactyla (Chinese pangolin), 1383 nucleotides long. RefSeq lists it as uncharacterized. Lineage: Eukaryota; Metazoa; Chordata; Mammalia; Pholidota; Manidae. The transcript is spliced from 3 exons. The record is from RefSeq and is a predicted model, not a curated record.
CAAGAGAAAUGAAUACCCAGUCUGGUGGGGAAAUGAAAGAGGCCACCGGGGUGACUAGAGAAGAGGGUCUGUGGGUGGGAAAUGGCAGAGGAGGUGGGCAGAGGUCGGGCCUGCAAAUACCAGGCUGGGGCUUGAGUUUGUGGGAUGAGCUGUCCCGGGGCUCUUGACCCUCUCUACUCCUCGAAGUGCCCUGCAGGGCAUGGGAAAGUUGGCAAUAAUGAUGGCCAACAGUACUGGCUGCUCACCAGGGGCCAGGCACUUCACGUGAGUCAUCUCAUUUAAUCCUCACCAACUCAGGAAGCAGUCAUCACCCCAUUUUACAGAUGCUGAACCCGAGGUGGGAAGAUUAAGUAUUUUGUCCAAAGUCACUCUGCAGACCGAGUAUCGGAACCUGCUGACCCCACCAACAGUAAGCUUGACAUUGGUAGGCAGUAUAUUUUAAAUUUGCAUGCAAAAUAUACCUUUUUUCUCCUUAAUACCAGAAAAAUGCUCCCCCACCGAAUCCUCAACUAAAAUCACCCUCCAGCUGUUUUCUGUUUGCAUGACUCUUGGGCAUGAUGCUGGGAAGCCCAGUGGAGGAUGUGGGAGCCCAAGGACGAAAAUACUAUUUUUUUUGAGAGGGCAUCUCUCAUAUUUAUUGAUCAAAUGGUUGUUAACAAUAAAAUUCUGUAUAGGGGACUCAAUGCACAAUCAUUAAUCAACCCCAAGCCUAAUUCUCAACAGUCUCCAAUCUUCUGAAGCAUAACGAACAAGUUCUUACAUGGUGAACAGUGCAAGGGCAGGCAGUCAUCACAGAAACUUUCGGUUUUGAUCACGCAUUAUGAACUAUAAACAAUCAGGUCAAAUAUGAAUAUUCGUUUGAUUUUUAUACUUGAUUUAUAUGUGAAUCCCACAUUUCUCCCUUACUAUUAUUAUUUUUUAAAUAAAAUGCUGAAGUGGUAGGUAGAUGCAAGAUAAAGGUAGAAAACAUAGUUUAGUGUUGUAAGAGAGCAAAUGUAGAUGAUCAGGUGUGUGCCUGUAGACUAUGUGUUAAUCCAAGCUAGACCAGGGCAAUAAAACAUCCACGGAUGCAGAAGAUUUCUCUCAGAACAGGGGGGGUGAGGUUCUAAGCCUCACCUCUGUUGAUCCCCAAUUUCUCACCUGAUGGCCCCCCUGCGACUGUGCCUGUCUUAAGUUGUUCCUCCCUUGAGGAAUCUUACCCGUCUCUGGCUAACCAGUCAUCUUCCGGGGCCAUACAGGGAAAUGUAAAGUUGGUAAGUGAGAGAGAAGCCUUAUUGUUUGAAAAGGUUAGCUUUUUACUUCUUUGCAUAUUUAUGCCCUGUGGCUUCUAUGCCCAGCAUUUGUCUUGAGGUAUCUUUACCACUUGGAAGAAUUAUGAUACUC